Molecule: small nuclear RNA, 128 nt
Gene: U2
Rfam family: U2 spliceosomal RNA
About the family: U2 is a small nuclear RNA (snRNA) component of the spliceosome (involved in pre-mRNA splicing).
Source: Ensembl
AUCGCUUCUCGGCCUUUUGGCUAAGAUCAAGUGUAGAGGAUAGGAAUGCUACAAUUUCUGGGAAGACUGUCGAGCCCCCAGGAAGAGAGGGGCCCUAGUACACUGCGUGUGUCAGCUUUCCCUUCAAU